This 639-nucleotide unclassified non-coding RNA is filed under the name Cynanchum schistoglossum. Its description in RNAcentral is "sequence contains ITS1, 5.8S rRNA gene, ITS2". The stretch from base 223 to 378 matches the Rfam family "5.8S ribosomal RNA". The record is from RNAcentral. Lineage: Eukaryota; Viridiplantae; Streptophyta; Magnoliopsida; Gentianales; Apocynaceae.
CGGAAGGAUCAUUGUCAAAUCCUUGUACCAACUGAAUGACCCGCGAACACGUUCCGAAAACAAUGAGCCCUUGGUCGAUCGGUCGGUGACUUCAUUAUUUGUUUGUUGCCGGACGCGUCGAGCAUUGGAAAACGAAAUCCGGCGCGGGAAGCGCCAAGGACUAGCCAAAAUAGAGGACGGCCUUAUUAAAGGGUCUCCCAAAGAAAAUCAAUGUUAUACGACGACUCUCGGCAACGGAUAUCUAGGCUCUCGCAUCGAUGAAGAACGUAGCAAACUGCGAUAGUUGGUGUGAAUUGCAGAAUCCCGUGAACCAUGGAGUCUUUGAACGCAAGUUGCGCCCGAAGCCACUAGGCCGAGGGCACGCCUGCCUGGGCGUCACGCAUUGCGUCGUCCCCCCCUCACCCAUGUCCCGAAAGGGCCGCGGGCCAUAGCGUGGGGGCGGAAGUUGGCUUCCCGUGCAGUGUUUUGCGGCUAGCCUGAGACACGGUUCCCUCGGCGCGGGCGUCGCGACAAGUGGUGGUCGUCGAGAUUGUACGCGAGUUGCCGGCAAGCUGCGUCGAGGAGAGCAUUGGACCCUGCGCGUGCGAGAUGAGUCCUUCACCGAGGGGCAAUUCCAACGAUUGCGACCCCAGGUCAGGC